UUAUAGGUUUCUCUUCCAGAGAAAAACAAAAACACAAUAAUUUAGUCUUUGUAUUUUUCAGUGCAGAGGUUGACUCAAAGUGCUUCAAAUUGCACUGCGAUACAUUCUUCACACUCUGGACCUCUUGUGGAAAAGAACUCGCAGUAAAAAUAGUGAUAACCGACUUGCAAGCACAUCCCGCAGACCAAAAAAAAAAAAAAAACACAAAAAACGUACAAAUUAAAUAAAAUACAACAAUAAUUAAACAAAAGUCAUAUUCUCUGCAAUCAAAACUUAGAUGUUUAAAGAUAAACAUUAAAAGUUUGAAGUUCAACACAAUAUGCAAUUAAAAUGUCACUUCAGGUCAAAGGCCAAGCUUCUCACAUUCAAGAAAAAAACUAAAGCACACACACAUUAAAGCAGGUCUUUUCUGAGCUGUCAGAUGCUCCCCAGAAAUAAAGACUUAGUUUAAAUUGAUGACAAACAAAGCAGAGCACCCCUUAAAACAAUAGUUUUUGUUCAGGAGCAAAAUAAUCAUAAUAAUAAUUUUUAUUCUUGCAAAUUCAGUCAAACUGUUUUGCUUGGCCACAGCUGGAAGCUAUCAAGCUCAAACAGCAGGUACAACUUCAGAGUCACAGAGAUAAACUUACAGCCUGGUCAGUGUGUUAGCCAGCAGAGAAGACCUGCAGCAGCUGCAUGCAUUGUCUCACGAUCUAUUACAGUAUAUGGGCGCCCCCUAGCGCACGAAUUUUACGCUUCCAACCAGAUUCAAUUUAGAGCAGCCGUCCGACACGGAAACAGCUUCAGUCUCGUCUCUCUCAUCGACCAAACUAAUGAGCAGCACUUAAAAAUGAUAUCCCGUGAACAAGAGGAGUCUGUAAAUAAAUUCUCCGAGAUGAUACGACUCACCGAGGAGCCACUUUUUAAAUCGAGAGAUCACCCCAUUGAUGGCGACUGGACCCAAUAUGCCAUGGCAUUUUUAUCUGCAACAUUGCAUAAUAGCAAUCAGCAGCCUUUAACACUCCAGUAAAGGCACAAAGAAGAUUGUGAGAAUUUUACAUCAAAUCCGGUCACGCCCAAGAUGGAACACAACAAGAGGACGCUCUUGAAAAAAAUAACUGCUCGACCAACAAAGUGGUUUCUCACAGAAAUCUCUGCAGAAGGUCACUUCUUUAUCAACAAUAAAAUGUUAUUUACAUCUCUGGUUUUUGUGAACGCACCUUGUUGUAUUAG
Molecule: long non-coding RNA, 1212 nt
Filed under: Oryzias sinensis (Chinese medaka)
Lineage: Eukaryota; Metazoa; Chordata; Actinopteri; Beloniformes; Adrianichthyidae
Description: lncRNA (ENSOSIG00000020684.1)
Source: RNAcentral